Molecule: ribosomal RNA, 253 nt
Filed under: uncultured bacterium
Lineage: Bacteria
Description: partial 16S ribosomal RNA
Rfam family: Bacterial small subunit ribosomal RNA
Source: RNAcentral
UACGGAGGGUGCGAGCGUUGUCCGGAAUCACUGGGCGUAAAGGGCGCGUAGGCGGUUCGUUAAGUUGCUGGUGAAAUCCCGGGGCUCAACUCCGGGGCUGCCAGUAAGACUGGCGGGCUAGAGCACGGUAGAGGCAGAUGGAAUUCCCGGUGUAGCGGUGGAAUGCGUAGAUAUCGAGAGGAGCACCAGUGGCGAAGGCGAGUCUCUGGACGACUCCUGACACUGAGGCACGAAAGCUAGGGGAGCAAACAGG